This 477-nucleotide ribosomal RNA is filed under the name Heptathela amamiensis. RNAcentral describes it as "partial 16S ribosomal RNA". It matches the Rfam family "Bacterial large subunit ribosomal RNA", at positions 1783 to 2592 of the family's 2925-position model. The record is from RNAcentral. Lineage: Eukaryota; Metazoa; Arthropoda; Arachnida; Araneae; Heptathelidae.
AGCUCCCAUGGCGCCUGUUUAUCAAAAACAUGGUUUCUUGGUAAUUAUAAGAAAUCUAGCCUGCUCACUGCUUAAGUAAAGGGCCGCAGUAUUAUGACUGUGCUAAGGUAGCAUAAUCAUUUGUCUUUUAAAUGAAGUCUAGUAUGAAAGGUUGGAUUGGGGGGGAGCUGUCUCUUUAUUAUAAAAUGAAGUUAAUUAAUUAGUAAAAAGGCUAGUAUAAGUCUGAAAGACGAUAAGACCCUAUUAAGCUUGAUUUUAUAAUUUUACUGGGGCGGUAGAAUAAGAGUGGGAUCUUAUUAAUUGAAAGUGAAAUGUUAAAGACCCAAUAAUAUUGAGGAUUUGAUAAAGUUACUAUAGGGAUAACAGCUUAAUUUUUUCUUGAAGAUCUUAUUUAAGAAGAAGUUUGAGACCUCGAUGUUGAAUUAAAGUAUCUUGUAGACGUAGCAGUCUAUAUUGUAAGUCUGUUCGACUUUCAAA